AGUGUAGGCCGUGCCGCGAUCCAGACCCGACGCCUCCGCGGGCUCCGCGGCGCCCGGGCUGCCUCCGCCGGCUGGGAGCGCUCGAGUGGCCCUCGGGAACUCACCGUGAAGCAGGAGGGCCGGGAACAGAAGUUGGUGACUUUGAUGCUUCUGUCCUUACAAAAAGAGAAAACUUCUACAAACAGACACAAACCCAAGGCUGGAGGAUUGCUUGAGAUCAGGAGUUCGAGACCAUCAUGGGAAACACUGCAAGACCCUGUUUCUACAAUUUUUUUUUAAUCAGCCAGGCAUGGUCGCACAUGCCUCUAGUCCCAGCAACUUGAGAGGCUGAGGUGGGAGGAUCGCUUGAGCCCAGGAGGUCAAGGCUACAGUGAGCUAUGAUUGCACCACUGCACUCCAGCCUGGGCGACAGACAGAGAUCUUGUCUCUAAAAGAAAAAAAAAAAAAUGCCCCAGAGUCAAAA
RNAcentral lists this long non-coding RNA (463 nucleotides) under Homo sapiens (human). RNAcentral describes it as "non-protein coding lnc-PIEZO2-16:1". Lineage: Eukaryota; Metazoa; Chordata; Mammalia; Primates; Hominidae. The record is from RNAcentral.